RNAcentral lists this ribosomal RNA (412 nucleotides) under uncultured Lactobacillus sp. RNAcentral describes it as "bacterial SSU rRNA". It matches the Rfam family "Bacterial small subunit ribosomal RNA", at positions 58 to 446 of the family's 1533-position model. Lineage: Bacteria; Bacillati; Bacillota; Bacilli; Lactobacillales; Lactobacillaceae. The record is from RNAcentral.
CGAGUCUGCCUUGAAGAUCGGAGUGCUUGCACUCUGUGAAACAAGAUACAGGCUAGCGGCGGACGGGUGAGUAACACGUGGGUAACCUGCCCAAGAGAUCGGGAUAACACCUGGAAACAGAUGCUAAUACCGGAUAACAACAGAUGAUGCCUAUCAACUGUUUAAAAGAUGGUUCUGCUAUCACUCUUGGAUGGACCUGCGGUGCAUUAGCUAGUUGGUAGGGUAACGGCCUACCAAGGGGAUGAUGCAUAGCCGAGUUGAGAGACUGAUCGGCCACAUUGGGACUGAGACACGGCCCAAACUCCUACGGGAGGCAGCAGUAGGGAAUCUUCCACAAUGGACGCAAGUCUGAUGGAGCAACGCCGCGUGAGUGAAGAAAGGUUUCCGCUCGUAAAGCUCUGUUGUUGGUGAA